UACGUAGGGUGCGAGCGUUAAUCGGAAUUACUGGGCGUAAAGCGUGCGCAGGCGGUUUUGUAAGACAGGCGUGAAAUCCCCGGGCUCAACCUGGGAACUGCGCUUGUGACUGCAAGGCUAGAGUACGGCAGAGGGGGGUGGAAUUCCACGUGUAGCAGUGAAAUGCGUAGAGAUGUGGAGGAACACCAAUGGCGAAGGCAGCCCCCUGGGUCGAUACUGACGCUCAUGCACGAAAGCGCGGGGAGCAAAAGGG
RNAcentral lists this ribosomal RNA (253 nucleotides) under uncultured bacterium. Its description in RNAcentral is "partial 16S ribosomal RNA". It matches the Rfam family "Bacterial small subunit ribosomal RNA", at positions 524 to 776 of the family's 1533-position model. The record is from RNAcentral.